This 809-nucleotide long non-coding RNA is filed under the name Linum usitatissimum (flax). RNAcentral describes it as "long non-coding RNA (LUSI_LNC005798)". Lineage: Eukaryota; Viridiplantae; Streptophyta; Magnoliopsida; Malpighiales; Linaceae. The record is from RNAcentral.
AAAUCAGACAAAUCUAAGCCUUUUUAUUCAUCCCACAUCUCAAAAACUUACAAACUCUGAAGAAAGAGAUGGAUAAGUCAUCCAUGAAGCUGGUUUUUUUGGUUGUGCUCUUGAUUCUCGUAGCUGGUAUUUAAUUUUUUUUUUCAAUAAUGGCAUUGCUAUUAUAGAAAUGUGAAUAGAUUUAAAAUAUUUGAUUAAUUAUAUGAUUGGACGAUACAAAUAUAUAGGUGAGGUUUCGAACAUUGGAGCAGAAGGAAGAGUUAACCAAAUCAUACCGUGCGUCUGUUCUCCUCGAUGCUUUUGCGCCAGCGGCUUUGGUUGUCUUUGCCCCGAAGAUUUGCCAUUGACUUCCCAUCAACCACACCACGGUCCCAGGGUGUCGUCAGAGGAUCCGCCAAUGCCUUAGAAUUGCAAAAAAUCGAAGUAUUACUGUUAAUUGUAAUGUAUUAAUAAUUGAAAAUGAAAGGGAUUCUGAGGUGAAAUGAGAUAUGGCCAUAGGCGGCACAGGCAAUGCAAUUCAUACGCACGACCGACUCAUGUCAAUGACGAAUAUUGGACGUUGGGUCCGAAAAUGGAUUGGGGAGAGUCGAGCAUAUCUCGGAUAAACCCAGUGACAUAGUCAGGAUUUGAGUCUAGUAGAGUCCAUGUUAUGACGUAGUUUAGUCCGUUCAUACAGUGGUACGAUGACGAAGCAUUGACAGCCAAAGAUCCGCAUACAGAUGACGACCAAACAACCGGAAAUAAGGUGACUCGUUACGAAGAAUAGCGGUGAUCAGUCGAUGGAUGAGGUGAACUUACAGACAUAAGGU